This is a long non-coding RNA of Drosophila sechellia, 829 nucleotides long. RefSeq lists it as uncharacterized. The transcript has 3 exons. The record is from RefSeq and is a predicted model, not a curated record. Lineage: Eukaryota; Metazoa; Arthropoda; Insecta; Diptera; Drosophilidae.
AUGAUUUAGUUCCCAGUAUUUAUUUAUCUUUCACUGCUGUCAGUGGGAGACUGCUGACACGCAAUCCACGCCCAUCCGAUAUGUAGGUGUCAUUUGUUUAUAAAGUACAUAUAUCUAUUGAGCGCACUGGCCGGGCAAUAUGUGGCCACCACUUCCGCUGGAUGUCAAGCAUAUGGCAGACAAAUGUUCCUCUCGACCAAUGUAGUCUUUGGCCCUUGGGCUCCACUGCAUUGCACUUGACACGCUUCCAAGGAGCAUUCGUAAGGACUUUGGACACUUUCCAAGGCAACGGAAGAAAGCGACUGCAAUGGACUUUGCGCCAAAUCCUGAGAGAUUGCGAGUGUGACUGGCAUUUUUAUAGGCUGCAGUUGAAUUAUCGACACAUUUUCUACAAACCACUUCUGCCAAGCAUUCUUGGAAACCUUCGCCGCAGGCCAGGCACAGAUAACGUGGAGAGCAGCAGACAGAGCGAAAGCAAUUAAAGCCACGUGCAAAGUUUACCUAAGGAUCCCGGGCAAAACUUCUUCUAGGCGCCAAGGUGGGUGACUUCAAGAAGGAUUGCUGCUCGAUUUUUUUCCUUAUUUGCCUGGGCAAAGAUCAGAGGGAAAGUCCUGGCGCCCCAGCGAAAGUGGCCCGGGGACUUGGAUUGCCAAUCGUUGGGAGUAGAUUGGUGUGGGGAUGCUGGGUUAAGCAAACUUAAUUAAUACGGAAAUACGCAGCUGAUUGAAGGCGUGCACAGAGAGAUAAUGUGGUCAUGAAUAAGCAUUGGAGUCACCAAAUCGUAUAUCAAUAAGUCAAGAAUUACAUAGAAACAUAUAAAUUGUAGAAA